Manis pentadactyla (Chinese pangolin) is the source of this 1988-nucleotide long non-coding RNA. RefSeq lists it as uncharacterized. The transcript is spliced from 4 exons. The record is from RefSeq and is a predicted model, not a curated record. NCBI's taxonomy places the organism in Eukaryota, Metazoa, Chordata, Mammalia, Pholidota, Manidae.
GCUACCGCCAUAUUCAAGCCAGUAGCGUCUCGAGCGCCUUGGGCGAGGCAGCUCUGGCUGCUCUCUCCGUGCUUCUGUCCGCUGGCCCAGGCAGGAGCGGCCCGUGCCGUCCUGUCCGUGCAGCGGGCCCUGCGAAGACCAGAUGUUGAUGGACCCGCGCCGUGCUCGGCUGCGCCAUCCUCCCGGCGCGCAUGCGGGGGCGGCACCGACCUCGUGCCCCGGCCUCGGAUCGCCGCCUCGCGCCCGCUUGGCUCCCGGUGCCGCACUCGUCUUUCUCGGGUAUCCCGCGGCAGGCGGAGGGCUGCGAUCGACCCGGACUUUGAGCCGCUUCCCCGGACGGACUUCAGAGAGCUCGGCCGAGAAGCAGAUCUGUAGUGGAGGGUCCAGAGCGGGCCCUACUUCAGGGGUAAAGAAGAUAGCGACAGCCCUGCGGGCUGGAAGAACACCAACCCGCCAAGGAAACUGGAAUGAAGAGGAGAAGAUGUGAUACGGGAGGUGAGAUGGUGGGGACUGGUAGUAUUUUUCCAUGUGCUGCUUUCAAGGUUCACAGGGAAAAAAGGUUGCCACGGAGCAGCUGGAUGUGGAUCCCUGUGUUCCGCAAGUGGCAGGAAUCUCAAGUCUCUCCAAGUACUCCGCCUGUCUUUGCUUUCGAACCCCACCGAUCCUCCAGAGCAUCAUGUAAGUCUGUAUUGAAGACUAUGGACCUUUCAGCCAGUUUGUCAUAUCGCAGAGAUUACAGCUUGACAUGGAUGGCCAUACCUUUGCCCUGGCCUUUGGUCUGCUGACUUCAGAUGCAUACAGUUGUGAUGUUCUCAUUUAGUCCCACUGAAAGAAAACUACAGAAUGAGGUAAGAAUGGAACAACCAGAGAGGGAAGCAGCAUCUACUGCAGAAAAAAAAAAAGCAAAAUCACGGGGAAACUAUGGAGACGAUCAAUGGGAGAGACACCAAAUGCUAAUGCUCACCUUUGCUUAUGUGUUGUCCCCAUAGCAUCUGACAGUGGCAUUGUCUUAAUCAUCUAGUAUUUACCUAUCCACUAUUACCUUAGCAAUUACAAGUUGUGAAAAGCUAAAUGCAAUAGUUGUAAGUAGAAUUCUGUCAAAAUGCCAACUCUUCACUGAAAAGAAAGCAAGCUAUGAUACAUAUUAAUUUGAUUAAUAGCCAGAUAAAGGGAUCUUUACCACUAAGAACAAAAGAGGCAGUGAUAAAUUGGAAGUUGUUUUAAUCUAUUAAAAAGUGUUAUAAAUUUGAUUAAAUUAUGUUGUUUAUAAUAUAUAUGAGUAUAAAAUGACAUAAACUACAGUAGAAAUAGUUUGAAAGAAGUAUUAUUUUUUUAAUUCACUCUAAAAUGAAUUAAAAAUGCUUGUAAUGACUUCUGGUUUCUGAUUCUAUAUAUAAGGAGCAUGAAAGUUGCCACUUUGUCCUAACAGCAAGUAGAAAGCUGAACAGAUUGAAAAAUAAAAACUCUACUUGGUACAUAAAAGAGGAGGACACCAGUCAAACCACUGGCCCAAAGACUGGAGAGACAAGGCGCGGAGGCUCCCAGGGCAGAGACUCCAAAGUCAAAGCCCCGUGGGGACCACGAGGCAGAUCCUCCAAAAGUGGCAUGCUGUGCACUUUUAAGUAGUUCCUUGGUGGUCAAUUACUACAUAUCCUCACAUAGUACAGAUAGACAUUUGAAGAUGCCAGAGGCAAGAGGAAAUGAUGCCUCUUUGUCUGCAAAAGUGUCAGUCUAGCACCUAGUCAGCAAAGCUUCUGAACUCUGAAAAAGAACAGGACAAAGGGUGGCUCAAUCAGAGAUUAAUAUUGGACUAAGGAUUGAAGUUUGGGAAAGCUAAAGAUUCUGAUCACUCUGGCAUCUUUGCUUACUGCCAAUAUGUACCUCAAAUUUUCCUUCAUUCUAGUUCCCUACAGAGAAUCAAACUCAUGGAAGAAGUAAUUACUGAGCCUUGGUUGAUUCAGAGAAAUAACACUGUCACAGUCUGUGAG